CGAACGGGUGAGUAACACGUGAAGAACCUGCCCUUCAGUGGGGGACAACAGUUGGAAACGACUGCUAAUACCGCAUAAGACCACAGUACCGCAUGGUACAGUGAUCAAAGGAUUUAUUCGCUGAAGGGUGGCUUCGCGUCCGAUUAGGUAGUUGGUGAGGUAACGGCCCACCAAGCCUACGAUCGGUAGCCGGACUGAGAGGUUGAUCGGCCACAUUGGGACUGAGACACGGCCCAGACUCCUACGGGAGGCAGCAUG
RNAcentral lists this ribosomal RNA (258 nucleotides) under uncultured bacterium. RNAcentral describes it as "partial 16S ribosomal RNA". It matches the Rfam family "Bacterial small subunit ribosomal RNA", at positions 99 to 353 of the family's 1533-position model. The record is from RNAcentral.